Molecule: ribosomal RNA, 492 nt
Filed under: uncultured bacterium
Lineage: Bacteria
Description: partial 16S ribosomal RNA
Rfam family: Bacterial small subunit ribosomal RNA
Source: RNAcentral
AGUGAACGCUGGCGGUAGGCCUAACACAUGCAAGUCGAACGGCAGCACAGUAAGAGCUUGCUCUUACGGGUGGCGAGUGGCGGACGGGUGAGGAAUACAUCGGAAUCUACUUUUUCGUGGGGGAUAACGGAGGGAAACUUACGCUAAUACCUCAUACGACCUACGGGUGAAAUCAGGGGAUCUUCGGACUUUGCGCGAUUGAAUGAGCCGGUGUCGGAUUAGCUAGUUGGCGGGGUAAAGGCCCACCAAGGCGACGAUCCGUAGCUGGUCUGAGAGGAUGAUCAGCCACACUGGAACUGAGACACGGUCCAGACUCCUACGGGAGGCAGCAGUGGGGAAUAUUGGACAAUGGGCGCAAGCCUGAUCCAGCCAUACCGCGUGGGUGAAGAAGGCCUUCGGGUUGUAAAGCUCUUUUGUUGGGAAAGAAAAGCAGCAGGUUAAUCCCCCGCUGUUCUGACGGUACCCAAAGAAUAAGCACCGGCUAACUUCGUG